Long non-coding RNA from Vicia villosa (hairy vetch), 600 nucleotides. RefSeq lists it as uncharacterized. The record is from RefSeq and is a predicted model, not a curated record. The transcript is spliced from 6 exons. NCBI's taxonomy places the organism in Eukaryota, Viridiplantae, Streptophyta, Magnoliopsida, Fabales, Fabaceae.
AAAACACAUAACAUCCAUUUUCACCAUUUCGAAACCAUUUUAUUUCCCCCAAAUUUCAAACCCUAACAUCGAAAAUUCGUCUGCGAUCUUCCCAAAGCGUCAACAAACCAACCAAUUUUCAUCUUCUUUCUCUUCGGGAUAUUCGUUUAUCAAAGACAGAAAACUAGGUUUUACCUUCGAUUAUUUUCGUCAAAUUCAACUUGUUGAACAUUGUUCAUCAUGAAGUUCCUAGAGUGUGCUCCUCUUGACCGGCUUUCUUUUUAAAAUUUCACAUUGAAGCAAGUUGACUGGUAAAACAUGUGCUUCUGUCAUGGCGAUGUGUCUUGGUGUGGAGGAUUUGUGGCCAAAGAAAAUUCAACUGAGGCGAUGAGGAUUGACAUUUCCUUAAAUGCAUUCAGAGUGAAAAUAAUUGUCAGUAUGUGUUAGAGCUGGUUCAAGUAGUUGCUUGGAGUGAUCAUGCACCGUAUCUUCUUGUUAGUGGCUCUUCCGAUUGUACUCUUGUUACGGUAAGCAUUUGACUGGAAAUUUCAUAUUCUUUAUAGGAAAGUUUUAGAGUAUAAGAAGAAGCUUCAAUGGCCAAAAAACCUGCACCAAGAUCCA